ACUGAACGCUGGCGGCAGGCCUAACACAUGCCAGUCGAACGGUAACAGGAAGCAGCUUGCUGCUUUGCUGACGAGUGGCGGACGGGUGAGUAAUGUCUGGGAAACUGCCCGAUGGAGGGGGAUAACUACUGGAAACGGUAGCUAAUACCGCAUAACGUCGCAAGACCAAAGAGGGGGACCUUAGGGCCCCUUGCAAUCGGAGGUGCCCGGAUGGGAUUAGCUAGUAGGUGGGGUAACGGCUCACCUAGGCGACGAUCCCUAGCUGGUCUGAGAGGAUGACCAGCCACACUGGAACUGAGACACGGUCCAGACUCCUACGGGAGGCAGCAGUGGGGAAUAUUGCACAAUGGGCGCAAGCCUGAUGCAGCCAUGCCGCGUGUAUGAAGAAGGCCUUCGGGUUGUAAAGUACUUUCAGCGGGGAGGAAGGGAGUAAAGUUAAUACCUUUGCUCAUUGACGUUACCCGCAGAAGAAGCACCGGCUAACUCCGUG
RNAcentral lists this ribosomal RNA (490 nucleotides) under uncultured bacterium. Its description in RNAcentral is "partial 16S ribosomal RNA". It matches the Rfam family "Bacterial small subunit ribosomal RNA", at positions 30 to 507 of the family's 1533-position model. The record is from RNAcentral.